RNAcentral lists this ribosomal RNA (253 nucleotides) under uncultured bacterium. RNAcentral describes it as "partial 16S ribosomal RNA". It matches the Rfam family "Bacterial small subunit ribosomal RNA", at positions 524 to 776 of the family's 1533-position model. The record is from RNAcentral.
UACGUAGGGUGCGAGCGUUAAUCGGAAUUACUGGGCGUAAAGCGCGUGUAGGCGGCUUGGCAAGUCGGGUGUGAAAUCCCUCAGCUCAACUGAGGAAGUGCGCCCGAAACUGCUUGGCUUGAGUACCGGAGAGGAUGGUGGAAUUCCCGAAGUAGAGGUGAAAUUCGUAGAUAUCGGGAGGAACACCGGUGGCGAAGGCGACCAUCUGGACGGAUACUGACGCUGAGACGCGAAAGCGUGGGUAGCAAACAGG